This is a long non-coding RNA of Thamnophis elegans (Western terrestrial garter snake), 463 nucleotides long. RefSeq lists it as uncharacterized. The transcript has 3 exons. The record is from RefSeq and is a predicted model, not a curated record. Lineage: Eukaryota; Metazoa; Chordata; Lepidosauria; Squamata; Natricidae.
AGCUCUACCAAGUUACUUAAGGAUGGUUGUGAAUGGAAAGAGCUAGAUUGCACUAAGGCUGCAAUACCUUCUUCACAAAAUAGGAAGCUCAUACCAACAUUUACUACUAAGGCAAAAAAAUCAUUGAUUAAAAGACAAGAAAAAUGUUUUGAGGAAACUACAGUAAUUUGGACCAAAGAGGGGCAACACAUGGAUAAAAAUGUAUCUAGAACAGCAGAAGAUACUGUUCAAAACCCAGUUACACCUGCAGAAUCCUCAGCGACAAAAAUGGAGAGUGCCAGAGAUCAAAUAAUCCCUCAUUGUGAAAGAAUAAAUGAAGGACUAGAUAUAAAAAUACAAGAUGAAUAUGGGAUUAGAAAAAUAAACAAUAAUGAUGUCACAUCAGGAUUAUCUGAUUCUCAGCAAGAAGCAGGAAUUGAAUCAAAUUCACAAGCAAGUAACUACAAAGAAGAAAUGUCACAAA